GGGGUUGUGGCUCAGUGGUUGAGCACUUGCCUAGCAUGUGUGAGGCACUGUUUGAUUCUCAGCACCA
Molecule: transfer RNA, 67 nt
Filed under: Marmota monax (woodchuck)
Lineage: Eukaryota; Metazoa; Chordata; Mammalia; Rodentia; Sciuridae
Description: tRNA.Ala
Source: RNAcentral